UUCAGUUAAACCAUAAUAGUUCAACAACACACCACUAUGGGCAUCAACAUUUGGCCAAGGGUUUUUAACUUUGCCAAGUUCUGUAAGAACAGGAGGAACAACUUCGUAGAGUUUUGAAACCAGUUGAAACAGUGGAUCUUUGGGCAAAUGCUUCAUAGCGAACUCUCUCUGGCAUGUAUAUCUUGGAUCAGUCUUUCGCAGAACUCCAUGUCCAAAACCAGGGACAACCUUGCCACUGUUCAAUGUUUUCCAAACGUAGUCUUUCAACUGCUCUUUGGAAAUAUUCUCCCCACAUUCUUCUACAACAGAUUUUAUCCAUAGCAAAACUUCCUGAUUGGCUAAACCAUGAAGUGGUCCGGCUAAACCAUUCAAAGCAGCAGCAAAGGAGAGGUAAGGAUCCGACAAAGCACUAGCAACCAAGUGACCAGUGUGAGCACUGACAUUACCACCUUCAUGAUCACUGUGUAUUGUGACAUAGAGCCUCAUAAGUUCAUGCAUUUCAGAGCUACUGAAACCAAGCAUGUGAGCAAAAUUUGCACCAUAAUCCAGGGAUUCAUCCUUAGGUAUAGUGUCGCCAUUCUUGUACAUCCUGCGAUAAACAUAAGCAGCAACAAGUGGUACUUGAGCAAUCAGAUUCAUGGAAUCCUCAUAUGUUGGUUCCCAAAACUUUGAUUUGUGAAUCCCUUUCUCGUAUGCCUUUUGAAAUUCACUUUGAACCUGA
RNAcentral lists this unclassified non-coding RNA (721 nucleotides) under Hevea brasiliensis (rubber tree). Lineage: Eukaryota; Viridiplantae; Streptophyta; Magnoliopsida; Malpighiales; Euphorbiaceae. The record is from RNAcentral.